GUAGGUGGCAAGCGUUGUCCGGAAUUAUUGGGCGUAAAGCGCGCGCAGGCGGUCCUUUAAGUCUGAUGUGAAAGCCCACGGCUCAACCGUGGAGGGUCAUUGGAAACUGGGGGACUUGAGUACAGAAGAGGAAAGCGGAAUUCCAAGUGUAGCGGUGAAAUGCGUAGAGAUUUGGAGGAACACCAGUGGCGAAGGCGGCUUUCUGGUCUGUAACUGACGCUGAGGCGCGAAAGCGUGGGGAGCAAACAGGAUUAGAUACCCUGGUAGUCCACGCCGUAAACGAUGAGUGCUAAGUGUUAGGGGGUUUCCCGCCCCCCUUAGUGCUGCAGCUAACGCAUUAAGCACUCCGCCUAGGGAGUACGGCCGCAAGGCUG
This 374-nucleotide ribosomal RNA is filed under the name uncultured organism. RNAcentral describes it as "partial 16S ribosomal RNA". It matches the Rfam family "Bacterial small subunit ribosomal RNA", at positions 527 to 896 of the family's 1533-position model. The record is from RNAcentral.